CUACGUGCCAGCAGCCGCGGUAAUACGUAGGGCGCGAGCGUUGUCCGGAAUUAUUGGGCGUAAAGGGCUUGUAGGCGGUUGGUCGCGUCUGCCGUGAAAUUCUCUGGCUUAACUGGGGGCGUGCGGUGGGUACGGGCUGACUUGAGUGCGGUAGGGGAGACUGGAACUCCUGGUGUAGCGGUGGAAUGCGCAGAUAUCAGGAAGAACACCGGUGGCGAAGGCGGGUCUCUGGGCCGUUACUGACGCUGAGGAGCGAAAGCGUGGGGAGCGAACAGGAUUAGAUACCCUGGUAGUCCACGCUGUAAACGUUGGGCACUAGGUGUGGGGGCCACCCGUGGUUUCUGCGCCGUAGCUAACGCUUUAAGUGCCCCGCCUGGGGAGUACGGCCGCAAGGCUAAAACUCAAAGGAAUUGACGGGGGCCCGCACAAGCGGCGGAGCAUGCGGAUUAAUUCGAUGCAACGCGAAGAACCUUACCUAGUCUUGACAU
Molecule: ribosomal RNA, 488 nt
Filed under: uncultured bacterium
Lineage: Bacteria
Description: bacterial SSU rRNA
Rfam family: Bacterial small subunit ribosomal RNA
Source: RNAcentral